GGGUGCAUACCAGAGUGGCCAAAUGGGACAGACUGUAAAUCUGUUGGCUCUUGCCUUCGGUGGUUCGAAUCCAUCUGCACCCACCA
This 86-nucleotide transfer RNA is filed under the name Paludibacteraceae bacterium. RNAcentral's name for it is "tRNA-Tyr". It matches the Rfam family "tRNA". From Rfam's summary of the family: Transfer RNA (tRNA) molecules are approximately 80 nucleotides in length. Lineage: Bacteria; Pseudomonadati; Bacteroidota; Bacteroidia; Bacteroidales; Paludibacteraceae. RNAcentral also lists the same sequence under 1 other name. The record is from RNAcentral.